GGCAGUUCUCGGGUGAUGCAUCCCAGAAUUAGGCUCCUUCCUCUCUGGUUCCCAGGUGCGUCACCCGAGAACCACC
This is a non-coding RNA of Myotis brandtii (Brandt's bat), 76 nucleotides long. NCBI's taxonomy places the organism in Eukaryota, Metazoa, Chordata, Mammalia, Chiroptera, Vespertilionidae. The record is from Rfam.